CAAACAAUGAUUUUAAUGAAUACACGCGUGGGAAGACAACUCUGUACGCAGACAGGAAGUAGUCUUCGACUUAAUCAAAGCAUGAACAGAUAUUUUAUAGCAUCAGGGUUUGAUUUACUGACGCCCCUUCAUGCGUCACCGGUACAUUUUAUACAUAGAUCAGAUCAACAUCAUCAUGACUUUUCACCCAGAAAAUCAUCUUCUAUUUUCAUGGCUUGGUACUUUCUGUGUACCUUUCAGUUCUUAUCCUAUUCCUCUUUCUUGCCGAGACACCAAGAAACGGUUCCUCUUUUACCAAGACAAUUUUGCAGUUACAGCCAAACAUCCUCUAAAUAAAUCUAAUUUAAAGUGUGUGUGUCACGACCUCACUCAGCCUCGAUGUCACCUCUCGCACUUCUGACCUUUUACCAGACCAGAAGCUCACUGAGACUAUGUGUAUGUCUUCUACUAAAUAAAUAUUUUAACCAAGAACCUCUACUAAAACCUUAAUAUAAAAUGAUCUGAUAUAUAAGUGUUUUGUAAGCAUGUAUUGCAAUUCCUUCUAUGGCUCCAAGUCACUUGCACAAUAGAUUGUCCGAACAUCGCGCCGAACAAAGCUUCCGACCCCCAAUUAAUUGACCGAGCUCCAACUCUUCAAUAAGCACAGAUAUGCAUUGUGUAUAAAAUAGUCAUAACUGCUUAAGGCCUUCUUAAAGCUAUCUGUUACAUUGUUAAAGCCUCGUCUUAGCCUGCUGCUCAAAAUAACUUCCUGCUUUCACUUCUGCAUACAACUUCCUGUCAGCCUGCAACUCAGUCUUUCUGAAAGAGACACUGUUUAAACCUCUGAAUGCAAUAUCCAUGCUGCAGAUUAUAUUAUUAAUGCAAUGGUAAUAAUGACAAUUAUUUAACAAUAGCAGUAAAAUAAUUUCCCUUCUCGACACUCCCUCUUUUGACCUCUGGAACACCAGAGGUCACAAUACAUUGUGUCCUCACGCAGACCCUUCUCUGGUGGUCUCGAACCUCGAGAUCUCCAGGAUCCUCGCCCCUCCUGUGGUCGCCGAGAUCGAUCUUCUGCAAAAGAAACAAAACACCUUUUCCUGCAUCUCCCUAACUUAUCCUAUCUGGGACUCUUUAAUCAAAAGCCUGAUCCUAAUUAUCUUCUUAACUUAUUAACUUGUAUUUAUGUAUACUCUUCAACGUUACUCAUCCCUUUAGAACUCUUUAAGCCCUGCUUUCACGUCCGGUUGCUCGCUCUAUUUUUCCCUUAUCUGAUCAUCAACAUCCUGUGCACAAAUUGUCGCUGCUGCAAGUUCCUCUACUCUAAAAGAAAACAACCACUUUAAUCAAUUAAGUUUAAGCAUAUAAGCAAUUACUCCUGUAUACAUUUCAUCAUAGCUAAAUGCUGCCUUGAAACAAUUCCUAUGUGUUAACUUCAUUUUAACCUCACAUUACCUAUGUUAUAACCCAUUUUGGUAUAGCCUUUUUAUUUCAUUUGCCCCCUUUAAUGUAACAAUACCUUCUAAUUCUAAUUUAUCAGACUUAACCAAAAUAUAUGCUUUCCUUCCCCUUUGGUCCUUCUUUUAAGUUCAGUUAAAAGCUAAAUGAAUUUAAGGCCUUUUGCCUGGAAUCAAUACUGUCAUGUGUGUUUCUUAACUCUGUGUCUGUAAGCGUGUGCAAUCCUUCAUGAACUCAUAUUAUCCUCACAGUAGAUUGGCUAAUCAUAGCGCUAGCCAAAGGCUCGUGACCCUCCAGAGACAAAUUUGAGCCACAACUCCUUUAAAAGCACAAAAUGCAAUAUGUAUAAAAAUCAUUUCUAUUUAUAAGCUCCCCCUUUAUCCUAAAAAUACCUCCUAUGUAAUAUCUGUAUGUGUAAGCCUACAUUAUAACCACUACUUCUAGAAAUCAAAAAGAAAUCAAAGCUGUUCUACUCCUUCAACCCUCACUAAUUUUCCCUCUAAGAUUUAUUCACAGCUUUGAAAACCGGCAUUGUAUCUUCUAAACAGGAUUCAGUUCUGUCAUGGUCCUGGGCCAUGUUGGCCCAGUAUUCUUGAUUCCUUGUAUUUUCGCUCCUUAUUUAGGCCAGGUUUUCUCAGGUGUCCUAUUGUGGUGUUCCCUAAGUGUUUUUUCCCUUUGUGACUCUUACCCCCUUGUGCCCCUCUGUGUAUUUAUGAGCUCUCGUCUCUCUUUGUGUUUAUUCCAUGUUUCCCCCAGCCUGUUAUGUCUGUGUUCUCCCCGUGCUUUCUCUCCUCCUAUCUGAACCUCUGUGUACUUCCUGUUUUACUUUGACAGUCUCUCGUCAGUAUGCGUAAUGUUGUGUUCACUCCUGCCCUGUCUCGUUAUGUUUAUCAGUGUCACCUGUGUUCUCCACCUGUGUGUAAUCUCCCUGUGUUCUCUGGGUGUAUUUAAGUUGUGUCUUCUGUUAUGGUAGUUGCUGGUUCGUCUGUGUUGUUUCCCCUCGGUCUCCCUGCGUCUCGUUUCUGGUUUGUGUUAUUAGCUUACCCAGUUUAGGUUUCCGGUUUCUUGUUUUUCCACCAGUGCUGUUUUGUGCCCACCGUUGUAAAUAAAUAUUCACCUGCACCAGAGCUGCCGCCUUUUGGGUCCUUUUCUACAACUCCACACGGCUUGCCUCGCAAACCGUGACAAGUUCACUUUUAAUCCUUUAACCUUAACUUAAAAUAACAGUUUCAGUUUUACCAUAUCCAAAUGAUCAAAAACCCAAAAGGUCCUAAAAUGAUCCUAAAUUAUUAAACAAUUAAAUUAUUAAACCCUAAACCCCCCUUUAUCUUGAUACAUUUCAUGUGUCAAGAUACUAUACAAAACUUAAACAUGCUCAGUUUCCCCACUCAUGAUCCAAUCUAUGUCAUAAAAAUAAACUUAAAACAGAACAGUUAUCAGUCAUGUGUUUCUUCAAUUAAUGGUGACUGAGUUACAUCAAAAAAUAUUUCCCCUUUAGCAUUUGGCAUUCUCCCAACAAUAUACUAUAAUCCCAUAAUCUAACCCCAGUCAACAAAACAAAAAUUUUUCUGGUAAAAGCAAAUUGUUUGUCCACAUUAAUUCAUCCUCACUCACAUUCAGUCACACAUUCACUCACAUGCAGUCACACCAUGUAUUUGCUGAUAGUGGAGCUUCCCGCACGAUCAGAUACUCCACCUUCAGCAAAAUGAGCUCAGUCAUUUUUUAUUUUCCAUAGGAAAAUAUUUCUUUAUGCUUUUGGACUGGAUUGACUCGCAUAAAAUCCUUUUUACAGGGACUUACGACCUGAAUAGUCCCCACAGGUAGCUCUCCUCAGCCAAUUGUAAUCUGGAAAGCCGCCUUAUAUUUGCUCUUCCCGAGAAUUUUCAGCGCCGUUAUUCACUGUUCCAGGCCUGCUUAAAACAAAAAUGGAAAAAAUAGAGCUGAUUGUUAGCUCAUAAAAACAAAACAAAAUCACCUGACAGGUUUUCUUUAAGUGCACUGUUACAAAAUAAUGGGCCCAAUUUUAGACAUGUCCAUGUUUCCUAAAACUCCCUCUAUUUAAAACAAAAACACCAACAACCCAAACCUAACUGACCGAAUCAACCCAUUACCACAACAACCUCAACAACCUUAAACACACAAGUAUUUGCCACCACAUAAUUUCACCUCCUCAAUACACCGAAAGUCUCAUUAAAACCACACAAUUUGCAAACAAAAAUCACCCCCUUAUACUCUUAAAUUCAGCAUAAGACCCCUUACGACAUCAUAUAAUCACUAAACUAUAAAUUCCCUACCCCAAUCUGCACUUCUCGUCUCUGCUAUGCUUCCUCUUCCUGAAAGUCACAGUCACACACACACUCAGGAA
Long non-coding RNA from Astatotilapia calliptera (eastern happy), 3799 nucleotides. Lineage: Eukaryota; Metazoa; Chordata; Actinopteri; Cichliformes; Cichlidae. The record is from Ensembl.